CAAGGGCACGGGCGCCCGUGGCUCUUUUGAGUGUAUGAUUGGGUGGGUGGGUACGUGUGUGAGGUUCUGCGGCCAUGCAAAGCGUGGUACUCUGUGUGAUGUCUGCGCGUGUAGGGAAGAUCACAUUUCCAAGCGGAGAGGUCGGUUUCGUGAGGGGAGGGCGGGGGCACGAGGGAUGGGCGGUGAGGGGCAGAUAGAAGAGGGAGAAACUUCUUCUACCUGCCUCUCCCUCUCUCCUGGUCACACCCCUCCCCCUCUCUCUACGUUCUUCAUACCUUCGUCGCUAAGUGCAGUGAUCUGAGAUGUUGUUGUUUGGUGACUGUUUGUGUGAGUGUACAUGCAUCUCUCUCUGUGAGUGAGUAUCACCACGAGGCCGGUGCAGUGCUGCCAGAACGCUGCCGUGUUUGAGUUGCGGUGUGGAGGAGUGGUUGUUCAAGCACAGCCACGCCACACCCUCUUCGCCACUUGCCUCCCUUCCCCCUCCUCCUCCUUUCUACAUGAUGAGCAACGAUGCGCCUAGGACACCUUUAGAGACGCUCUGGCACACACGCAUACGCACGCGUGCACGCUCGUAUUUUUUUCGUGUAUGCGCGGGUGCGUAUAUUCUCUAUGGCACGGGUCACAUACGUGAAAACAAACUUGAUCAAUAGCCUCGGCUCAUCUGACGCGUAGGGACUUCGAGGAGGAGUGAGAAGAAAGGCGUAUUUGAGGGAGGCGGGAACGGGCCGUGGCGGUCAUCGAGUGCUGCGGCGGCGGCCGUAUUCCCAGGACUAGACGAUUUCGACGGUUUCUUACAGGUUUUAGUGUGCGUUGGAAGGCAGCGCCUCCUCUUGUGCUCGCUCUGGUGCGGCGUGGUCUGCGCCUGCGAAGGUGUCUUUCUCUGUGCGUGCUCAGAUGGGAUGGAGGUGUCGACGCCCCUCGAGGGUGCACCACUGCUUUUUCGACACCCUCUCUGGUGACAUCCUCUCCCUCUUUCACUGGCCCCUUUUUACUCGUGCCUUUCGCCCUGCUGCCUCGCUCUGCACUGCAG
This 1030-nucleotide unclassified non-coding RNA is filed under the name Leishmania donovani. Its description in RNAcentral is "gene:unknown". The record is from RNAcentral. Lineage: Eukaryota; Euglenozoa; Kinetoplastea; Trypanosomatida; Trypanosomatidae.